RNAcentral lists this ribosomal RNA (356 nucleotides) under uncultured bacterium. RNAcentral's name for it is "bacterial SSU rRNA". It matches the Rfam family "Bacterial small subunit ribosomal RNA", at positions 9 to 353 of the family's 1533-position model. The record is from RNAcentral.
GAGUUUUGAUCAUGGCUCAGGAUGAACGCUAGCUACAGGCUUAACACAUGCAAGUCGAGGGGCAGCAGUGGUCUUAGCUUGCUAAGGCCGAUGGCGACCGGCGCACGGGUGAGUAACACGUAUCCAACCUGCCGUCUACUCUUGGACAGCCUUCUGAAAGGAAGAUUAAUACAAGAUGGCAUCAUGAGUCCGCAUGUUCACAUGAUUAAAGGUAUUCCGGUAGACGAGUGGGGAUGCGUUCCAUUAGAUAGUAGGCGGGGUAACGGCCCACCUAGUCUUCGAUGGAUAGGGGUUCUGAGAGGAAGGUCCCCCACAUUGGAACUGAGACACGGUCCAAACUCCUACGGGAGGCAGCA